Non-coding RNA from Caenorhabditis elegans, 118 nucleotides. The record is from Ensembl. NCBI's taxonomy places the organism in Eukaryota, Metazoa, Nematoda, Chromadorea, Rhabditida, Rhabditidae.
UUUCUAUAGGGUUCCUAGGAUAUAAAGAUCGAAGAUGAAUGAGUUGUGAGACAAUAUAAUAUAGGAUGUCGAAUUCAAUUUGCACAGCAUUCAGAAAUUGGAUGGAUUUGAUUAUCUA